This 376-nucleotide ribosomal RNA is filed under the name uncultured bacterium. RNAcentral's name for it is "bacterial SSU rRNA". It matches the Rfam family "Bacterial small subunit ribosomal RNA", at positions 521 to 896 of the family's 1533-position model. The record is from RNAcentral.
UAAGACGAACUGUCCAAACGUUGUUCGGAAUCACUGGGCUUAAAGGGCGCGUAGGCGGUCGAUCAAGUCAGGGGUGAAAUCCUGCAGCUUAACUGUAGAAGUGCCUUUGAUACUGGUCGUCUCGAGGGAGGUAGGGGUGUGUGGAACUUCCAGUGGAGCGGUGAAAUGCGUUGAUAUUGGAAGGAACGCCGGAGGCGAAAGCGACGCACUGGACCUCUUCUGACGCUGAGGCGCGAAAGCUAGGGGAGCAAACGGGAUUAGAUACCCCGGUAGUCCUAGCCCUAAACGAUGGGUACUAGAUUGUAGACUGAUCAUGGGUUUACAGUCGAAGCAAAAGUGUUAAGUACCCCGCCUGGGGAGUAUGGUCGCAAGGCUG